RNAcentral lists this transfer RNA (69 nucleotides) under Bos taurus (domestic cattle). It matches the Rfam family "tRNA". Rfam says of the family: Transfer RNA (tRNA) molecules are approximately 80 nucleotides in length. Their secondary structure includes four short double-helical elements and three loops (D, anti-codon, and T loops). RNAcentral also lists the same sequence under 1 other name. The record is from Rfam by way of RNAcentral. Lineage: Eukaryota; Metazoa; Chordata; Mammalia; Artiodactyla; Bovidae.
CCUGGUGGCUCAGACGGUAAAGCGUCUGCCUGCAAUGCAGGGGACCUGGGUUCAAUCCCUGGGUCAGGA